UACGUAGGCAGCGAGCGUUGUUCGGAGUUACUGGGCGUAAAGGGUGUGUAGGCGGUUCUUUAAGUUUGGUGUGAAAUCUCCCGGCUCAACCGGGAGGGUGCGCCGAAUACUGAGGGACUUGGAGUGCGGGAGAGGCGAGUGGAAUUCCUGGUGUAGCGGUGAAAUGCGCAGAUAUCAGGAGGAACACCGAUUGCGAAGGCAGCUCGCUGGAACGUAACUGACGCUGAGACGCGAAAGCGUGGGGAGCAAACAGG
This 254-nucleotide ribosomal RNA is filed under the name uncultured bacterium. RNAcentral describes it as "partial 16S ribosomal RNA". It matches the Rfam family "Bacterial small subunit ribosomal RNA", at positions 524 to 776 of the family's 1533-position model. The record is from RNAcentral.